AUUGAACGCUGGCGGCAGGCCUAACACAUGCAAGUCGAGCGGAUGAAGGGAGCUUGCUCCUGUAUUCAGCGGCGGACGGGUGGGUAAUGCCUAGGAAUCUGCCUGGUCUUGGGGGAUAACGUCCGGACACGGGCGCUAAUACCGCAUACGUCCUGAGGUAGAAAGUGGGGGAUCUUCGGACCUCACGCUAUUAGAUGAGCCUAGGUCGGAUUAGCUAGUUGGUUGGGUAAAGGCCUACCAAGGCGACGAUCCGUAACUGGUCUGAGAGGAUGAUCAGUCACACUGGAACUGAGACACGGUCCAGACUCCUACGGGAGGCAGCAGUGGGGAAUAUUGGACAAUGGGCGAAAGCCUGAUCCAGCCAUGCCGCGUGUGUGAAGAAGGUCUUCGGAUUGUAAAGCACUUUAAGUUGGGAGGAAGAGAAGUAAGUUAAUACCUUGCUGUUUUGACGUUACCAACAGAAUAAGCAACGGCUAACUUCGUG
RNAcentral lists this ribosomal RNA (484 nucleotides) under uncultured bacterium. RNAcentral describes it as "partial 16S ribosomal RNA". It matches the Rfam family "Bacterial small subunit ribosomal RNA", at positions 30 to 507 of the family's 1533-position model. The record is from RNAcentral.